UACGUAGGGUGCGAGCGUUAAUCGGAAUUACUGGGCGUAAAGCGUGCGCAGGCGGUUUUGUAAGCCCGAUGUGAAAGCCCCGGGCUUAACCUGGGAAUGGCAUUUGGGACUGCAAGGCUGGAGUGUGGCAGAGGAGACUGGAAUUCCUGGUGUAGCAGUGAAAUGCGUAGAUAUCUGGAGGAACACCGGUGGCGAAGGCGGCGUCCUGGACCAACACUGACACUGAAAAGCGAAAGCCAGGGGAGCAAACGGG
RNAcentral lists this ribosomal RNA (253 nucleotides) under uncultured bacterium. Its description in RNAcentral is "partial 16S ribosomal RNA". It matches the Rfam family "Bacterial small subunit ribosomal RNA", at positions 524 to 776 of the family's 1533-position model. The record is from RNAcentral.